Long non-coding RNA from Coffea arabica (coffee), 1753 nucleotides. RefSeq lists it as uncharacterized. Lineage: Eukaryota; Viridiplantae; Streptophyta; Magnoliopsida; Gentianales; Rubiaceae. The record is from RefSeq and is a predicted model, not a curated record.
UUUCUUUUCUUGCUGGUUGAACGAAGAAAAGUACAACUUCAAUUCUUCCAUCAGUAGCCAAUUGUUUAGAAGUGUUUUUGACUUUUUCCCUAGCAUUCUUGCCCUCUCUUUCCCGUUGUUUCUGCUUCGUUUUCUUUUUGCUGCAGAAGAAGCAUGUUUGCAUAUUUCAUUUUGUUUUCAUGUUCAGUUCUACUUUUUCUCCUUCGUCCCUCCCUCUCUGUUUCCAUUCCUUUGUUUCUCUUUUGUUUUCUUCCUGGUUCGGACAAACAAAAGUACCAACAGAUCUGCUCCAACACCUGGUCAAUAAUUUUUCCCCAAAUUAUGGCUGCUCAUCCAUAUCCCAAUCGUGGUAUUGUUCCACAAAGAGUCAAUUGUGGCUGCCCAUGCAUAUCCCAACCAUGCGAUUAUUCCACAAAGAGUCAGGUAUGAGGAACACAAACACUGCUCACAAAAAAAAUCAACGGUUCUACCUCCUUUUGCUCUGCAACAUUUCCAAGUAAAGUUUUAAGUUCCCUUGCGAGUAUCAGGUCCACAGAUUGGGUUUAGUUACGAUUUAAAAGAGUCGGUGCUAAAGAGGCUUUUGUUUGGGGUUGGCAGAUUCGUAUUAAGGAAUUGCUUCAAUUCAAGGUCAUUCCUUCUAUUCCUUCACUACAUCUUACAAUUUUCGUGCUUAAGUUUUGCUCUGCUUGACUACACUCUAGAGAAUAUCAUAACUGAAUCUCUAUGCUUAUACCAUUUUUCUUUCUCAGAUUUUGCCUUUUACUAUUUAAUCACUCUAAUUUGUUGAAUAUGACGCUCUUAAACAAUUAAUCUCAUGUUUGUAUCUCUUGGUCAGCUGCUUGUAUCUAACAGUUUGGAUUUCAUAUAUAUAGAAGUUAGCUUUACUCUCUUCAUUAGCUAUCAUUGUGCCUAAGUUUUGUUAUAUUUCGUCUAUUACUCAUAAUUUUUUCAGUUGUAGGUUCAUUUGGUCUCACUUAUUAACUGAACGUAUGCUUUAUAUGAUUAUGGUGAGGCUGGCUAAUCAAUAGAUUAAUAUGUAUUAGAAGCAAACGAGUAUGAUCAAGGAAGAUCACCUACUUGCUGCAAUCAAAGUUGCUGCUUCUAUCAGGGGACACAACCUAUCACUGCAUGGUUUUGUAAAGAAAGAGCAAUUGGAGGAUGCCCUCACUCACAUGGACCUUCUGAUCAUUCCUGUUGGAGUUCAUAGGAAACUAGCAAUGACUAGAGAUAACCUUUUUAAUAUCAAUCCUGACAUUGUUAGGGCUCUAUGAAUGAAUUUCAAAGUGCUGUACGGAAGCUAUUGUCUGCAUGGUGCCAUUUGGGGCUGCAAUGAACGUCACAUUUGUAAAGGAGUAGAACGAAAAUACCAUAAUAAGUGCCGAUUUGACAGUUAUCAGGAAAGAGUUCAAGUAGCAGGCAUCCAGGGCAUUUUUGGAACAAGGAGAUACAAGUCCUUUUUGGUAAUUCGCAGAGCGCAGCAUUAAAAGGAGGAACGAAGGGCUGAAGUGGGGGUCUUCUUCUUCCUCUCCGGAAGGGGAGCCGCCGCACAUUGGAGAGCUUUUCGUCUUGUAGCUUAGCCGUAGUUGUUGACUUUUCUUCUUAGUUUUUGUUAGCUAGUUUCUUUCUUACGUAUGAAGAUUGCUGAGAAGCUUAGCUUUUGUUUUUGAUUCUGCCUAUUCAAUUUCUCUUCUCCGAAUGUCGGACAAAAGCAAACACACUCAGUGGACUCUCGUAGCUUCCUUUCUUUAUUGAA